UAGGGAAUAUUGCACAAUGGGGAAAGCCCUGAUGCAGCGACGCCGCGUGAAGGAAGAAGUAUCUCGGUAUGUAAACUUCUAUCAGCAGGGAAGACAAUGACGGUACCUGACUAAGAAGCCCCGGCUAACUACGUGCCAGCAGCCGCGGUAAUACGUAGGGGGCAAGCGUUAUCCGGAUUUACUGGGUGUAAAGGGAGCGUAGACGGAUCUGCAAGUCUGGAGUGAAAGCCCGGGGCUCAACCCCGGGACUGCUUUGGAAACUGUCAGGCUAGAGUGCUGGAGAGGUAAGUGGAAUUCCUAGUGUAGCGGUGAAAUGCGUAGAUAUUAGGAGGAACACCAGUGGCGAAGGCGGCCUGCUGGACGAUGACUGACGUUGAGGCUCGAAAGCGUGGGGAGCAAACAGGAUUAGAUACCC
Molecule: ribosomal RNA, 415 nt
Filed under: uncultured bacterium
Lineage: Bacteria
Description: bacterial SSU rRNA
Rfam family: Bacterial small subunit ribosomal RNA
Source: RNAcentral